Molecule: long non-coding RNA, 455 nt
Organism: Lontra canadensis (Northern American river otter)
Lineage: Eukaryota; Metazoa; Chordata; Mammalia; Carnivora; Mustelidae
Exons: 3
Source: RefSeq, a predicted model, not a curated record
GAAAAUGCCAGUGAGGUGGAGGUGUCUGACUCAAGAGUGGCCUCGGGGCUGUACUUGCAGGCUGCGGGCGAUGAAGGCAGGUGAGGACAGAGGGCACCUGUCACCUCCCACCCCCGUCCCUUAGGUGUUUGGCUUGAUCCUACCCUCUCCUCCACAGGGCCUGUUCUCUGCUCACUGUCACCAUUUCCUGCCCGGGGCCUGAUCCUCCUGAGGGGCCUGGGAUCCAGGGCAUGUGGCGAGGGGCCUUGAGGAUCCUGCAGCUCCCCAGAGCCCUAGAUUGCCCCCUGCUGCAGGUAUUGGCUGGUAAGGUUAUUGGUGAGGAGGUGGAGGGCUCGUUGCCCUGGAUUGUCUCGCGGCUCCUGGAAGGAAACAACUACAGUGGCAUUCUUCUUCGCCUGGACCCUCAAGGUGGCUCCCCAAGCUUGCUCUGGGCUGCUCUGUCGGGGGCCGAGGGA